Non-coding RNA from Vicia faba (fava bean), 372 nucleotides. The record is from the annotation of a GenBank genome assembly. NCBI's taxonomy places the organism in Eukaryota, Viridiplantae, Streptophyta, Magnoliopsida, Fabales, Fabaceae.
AUGAAACUCCUCAAUCUCCCACCGCCACGCUUCUUCUUCUCUUUCUCCACUCUCCCUCGUUUUCCAACUUCCUCUUUCUCCCUCUCAAUCCCUUCUCAUCCUCCAUUUAAUCCACUCCCUUCUUCUUCCUCCACCUCUCUCCGUCGUCUUCGCUGCCGCGCCGCCAUGCCGGAUCCUCCUCCGCCACACAACUCUGACCAGCCUCCGGAAAACGGUUCCACGCAACUUCAAAAUGUUGGUGCAACCUUAUCAAAAUUUCAAGAUAGAGUACAGAUCUUCUUUGCUGUUCUAUUCUGGAUGUCUCUAUUCUUUUGGGCCUCAGCUUGGGAUGGAAGGAAUAGACCAAACAAAGGAUCAAGAUUUAGAAAAUAA